UACAGAGGGGGCAAGCGUUAUUCGGAAUUAUUGGGCGUAAAGGGCGCGUAGGCGGCCUGGCAAGUGGAAGGUGAAAUCCCUGGGCUCAACCCAGGAACUGCGUCCGAUACUGGUUGGCUUGAAUCCGGGAGAGGGAUGUGGAAUUCCAGGUGUAGCGGUGAAAUGCGUAGAUAUCUGGAGGAACACCGGUGGCGAAGGCGACAUCCUGGACCGGUAUUGACGCUGAGGCGCGAAAGCUAGGGGAGCAAACGGG
This 253-nucleotide ribosomal RNA is filed under the name uncultured bacterium. RNAcentral describes it as "partial 16S ribosomal RNA". It matches the Rfam family "Bacterial small subunit ribosomal RNA", at positions 524 to 776 of the family's 1533-position model. The record is from RNAcentral.